Molecule: ribosomal RNA, 330 nt
Filed under: Aeromonas salmonicida subsp. salmonicida
Lineage: Bacteria; Pseudomonadati; Pseudomonadota; Gammaproteobacteria; Aeromonadales; Aeromonadaceae
Description: bacterial LSU rRNA
Rfam family: Bacterial large subunit ribosomal RNA
Source: RNAcentral
GAGACAGUUCGGUCCCUAUCUGCCGUGGGCGUUGGAUGAUUGAAGGGAGUUGCUCCUAGUACGAGAGGACCGGAGUGAACGAACCUCUGGUGUUCGGGUUGUCACGCCAGUGGCACUGCCCGGUAGCUAAGUUCGGAAUCGAUAACCGCUGAAAGCAUCUAAGCGGGAAGCGAGCCCUGAGAUGAGUCAUCCCUGACCCCUUGAGGGUCCUAAAGGGCCGUUGGAGACCACAACGUUGAUAGGUGGGGUGUGUAAGUGCAGUGAUGUGUUGAGCUAACCCAUACUAAUUACCCGUGAGGCUUAACCAUACAACACCCAAGAAGUGUUCUG